RNAcentral lists this ribosomal RNA (497 nucleotides) under uncultured bacterium. RNAcentral's name for it is "partial 16S ribosomal RNA". It matches the Rfam family "Bacterial small subunit ribosomal RNA", at positions 28 to 507 of the family's 1533-position model. The record is from RNAcentral.
GAUGAACGCUGGCGGCGUGCCUAAUACAUGCAAGUCGAGCGAACAGAUGAGGAGCUUGCUCCUCUGACGUUAGCGGCGGACGGGUGAGUAACACGUGGAUAACCUACCUAUAAGACUGGGAUAACUUCGGGAAACCGGAGCUAAUACCGGAUAAUAUAUUGAACCGCAUGGUUCAAUAGUGAAAGACGGUUUUGCUGUCACUUAUAGAUGGAUCCGCGCCGCAUUAGCUAGUUGGUAAGGUAGCGGCUUACCAAGGCAACGAUGCGUAGCCGACCUGAGAGGGGGAGCAGCCACACUGGAACGGAUACGAGACCCGGACUAAACGGGGAGGCGCCGCUGGAGUAACGUACGGAAGGGACGGAGUGAGAACGGAACACAGCCAAGUGGCGGACAAAAAUCUUGGGAUCGUAGAACUCAGUUACUAGGAGAGGACAAAUAUGUAAGUAACGAGGCACUUCUUGACGGUACCUAAUGAAAAAGCCACGGCUAAUUACGUG